RNAcentral lists this ribosomal RNA (513 nucleotides) under uncultured bacterium. RNAcentral's name for it is "bacterial SSU rRNA". It matches the Rfam family "Bacterial small subunit ribosomal RNA", at positions 8 to 516 of the family's 1533-position model. The record is from RNAcentral.
AGACUUUGAUCCUGGCUCAGAUUGAACGCUGGCGGAAUGCUUUACACAUGCAAGUCGAGCGGCAGCGCGGGGGCAACCCUGGCGGCGAGCGGCGAACGGGUGAGUAACACAUCGGAACGUACCCAGUCGUGGGGGAUAACACAUCGAAAGAUGUGCUAAUACCGCAUACGACCUGAGGGUGAAAGGGGGGGAUCGCAAGACCUCUCGCGAUUGGAGCGGCCGAUGUCGGAUUAGCUAGUUGGUGAGGUAAAGGCUCACCAAGGCGACGAUCCGUAGCUGGUCUGAGAGGAUGAUCAGCCACACUGGAACUGAGACACGGUCCAGACUCCUACGGGAGGCAGCAGUGGGGAAUUUUGGACAAUGGGGGCAACCCUGAUCCAGCCAUUCCGCGUGAGUGAAGAAGGCCUUCGGGUUGUAAAGCUCUUUCGGCAGGAACGAAACGGCGGGCUCUAACAUAGCCUGUCAAUGACGGUACCUGAAGAAGAAGCACCGGCUAACUACAUGCCAACAGCC